This 895-nucleotide ribosomal RNA is filed under the name uncultured Staphylococcus sp. Its description in RNAcentral is "bacterial SSU rRNA". It matches the Rfam family "Bacterial small subunit ribosomal RNA", at positions 41 to 916 of the family's 1533-position model. Lineage: Bacteria; Bacillati; Bacillota; Bacilli; Caryophanales; Staphylococcaceae. The record is from RNAcentral.
GGCGUGCCUAAUACAUGCAAGUCGAGCGAACAGAUGAGAAGCUUGCUCCUCUGAUGUUAGCGGCGGACGGGUGAGUAACACGUGGGUAACCUACCUAUAAGACUGGGAUAACUCCGGGAAACCGGGGCUAAUACCGGAUAAUAUUUUGAACCGCAUGGUUCAAUAGUGAAAGACGGUUUCGGCUGUCACUUAUAGAUGGACCCGCGCCGUAUUAGCUAGUUGGUAAGGUAAUGGCUUACCAAGGCGACGAUACGUAGCCGACCUGAGAGGGUGAUCGGCCACACUGGAACUGAGACACGGUCCAGACUCCUACGGGAGGCAGCAGUAGGGAAUCUUCCGCAAUGGGCGAAGGCCUGACGGAGCAACGCCGCGUGAGUGAUGAAGGUCUUCGGAUCGUAAAACUCUGUUGUUAGGGAAGAACAAAUUUGUUAGUAACUGAACAAGUCUUGACGGUACCUAACCAGAAAGCCACGGCUAACUACGUGCCAGCAGCCGCGGUAAUACGUAGGUGGCAAGCGUUAUCCGGAAUUAUUGGGCGUAAAGCGCGCGUAGGCGGUUUCUUAAGUCUGAUGUGAAAGCCCACGGCUCAACCGUGGAGGGUCAUUGGAAACUGGGAAACUUGAGUGCAGAAGAGGAGAGUGGAAUUCCAUGUGUAGCGGUGAAAUGCGCAGAGAUAUGGAGGAACACCAGUGGCUAAGGCGGCUCUCUGGUCUGUAACUGACGCUGAUGUGCGAAAGCGUGGGGAUCAAACAGGAUUGGAUACCCUGGUAGUCCACGCCGUAAACGAUGAGUGCUAAGUGUUAGGGGGUUUCCGCCCCUUAGUGCUGCAGCUAACGCAUUAAGCACUCCGCCUGGGGAGUACGACCGCAAGGUUGAAACUCAAAGGAAUUGACGG